CUUGAAAAGGACCUGCAGAAACUGGAUAUGGAGAAUCAGGUUCUCCUUAGAAAGAUUAAAGAGAAAGAAGAAACUAUUUCAAGCCUGGAAAGAAAGCUGGCCUUGUCACUAGAAGAAGCCAAAGAGGAGGAGGAGUUGAACUAUGUCAUAGAUGAACAGGAGGAAUCCCUGAGGGAGCUGGAAUUAGAGACAGCAAAGCUGGUAAGGAGGUGUCUAGAAAAGGACCAUUGGAUGCAUUUUGUUUGCAUUCUGCUGCUCUCCUUCCCAGGAAUUCAUCCCAUGUUCAUUGCUUCUGUGUCUCAAAUCAUGGCUGUUUAAGAGAGUGUUCUGGGAAUGAAGCACUGGGCAUGGGGGCCGAAGAGGCUUUUUUCCCAGAUCUGCUGUGUGAGCCAGAGUGCACUUUUCCGACUUGAUAGACUAAUCCCCAGAUAUUAUUCCAGUGGCCUGAUGAAGGGGGAGAGAUGACGGCAGAGCAACUUUCUUCCCUUGACUUUCUUUUUCCCCACAGGAGAAAAGUAACGCAAUCCUAAGCAGGAAUGUGGUGGAG
Homo sapiens (human) is the source of this 547-nucleotide long non-coding RNA. The record is from Ensembl. NCBI's taxonomy places the organism in Eukaryota, Metazoa, Chordata, Mammalia, Primates, Hominidae.